This 421-nucleotide ribosomal RNA is filed under the name uncultured bacterium. RNAcentral describes it as "bacterial SSU rRNA". It matches the Rfam family "Bacterial small subunit ribosomal RNA", at positions 356 to 772 of the family's 1533-position model. The record is from RNAcentral.
CGGGAAUUUUGGGCAAUGGGCGAAAGCCUGACCCAGCAACGCCGCGUGAAGGAUGAAAUCCCUCGGGAUGUAAACUUCGCAAGAACGGGAAGAAUAAGUCUGCGUGAAUAUCGCAGAUGAAGACGGUACUGUUUGUAAGCUCCGGCUAACUCCGUGCCCGCAGCCGCGGUAAUACAGGGGGUGCAAACGUUGCUCGGAAUUAUUGGGCGUAAAGCGCGCGUAGGCGGCUACUUAAGUCGGAUGUGAAAGCCCCUGGCUCAACUGGGGAAGUGCACCCGAAACUGAGUGGCUUGAGUGCGAAAGAGGGUCGCGGAAUUCCCGGUGUAGAGGUGAAAUUCGUAGAUAUCGGGAGGAACACCGGUGGCGAAGGCGGCGACCUGGGUCGACACUGACGCUGAGGCGCGAAAGCGUGGGGAGCAAA